Molecule: ribosomal RNA, 285 nt
Filed under: uncultured bacterium
Lineage: Bacteria
Description: partial 16S ribosomal RNA
Rfam family: Bacterial small subunit ribosomal RNA
Source: RNAcentral
UUCCUACGGGACGCAGCAGUGAGGAAUAUUGGUCAAUGGCCGAGAGGCUGAACCAGCCAAGUCGCGUGAGGGAAGAAUGUCCUAUGGAUUGUAAACCUCUUUUGUCAGGGAGCAAAGUCACCCACGUGUGGGUGUUGGAGAGUACCUGAAGAAAAAGCAUCGGCUAACUCCGUGCCAACAGCCGCGGUAAUACGGAGGAUGCGAGGGGUAUCCGGAUUUAGUGGGUUUAAAGGGUGCGUAGGCGGGUUAUUAAGUCAGCGGUAAAAUCGUGGAGCUCAACUCCAU